AUCAUCUUCACCGUCGGUCUACCGAGCAAUUUCAUCUGCUCGGUGGAAAAUCUUCCCUUUGUUGU
Bombyx mori (domestic silkworm) is the source of this 65-nucleotide non-coding RNA. NCBI's taxonomy places the organism in Eukaryota, Metazoa, Arthropoda, Insecta, Lepidoptera, Bombycidae. The record is from Rfam.